Molecule: ribosomal RNA, 279 nt
Filed under: uncultured Staphylococcus sp.
Lineage: Bacteria; Bacillati; Bacillota; Bacilli; Caryophanales; Staphylococcaceae
Description: partial 16S ribosomal RNA
Rfam family: Bacterial small subunit ribosomal RNA
Source: RNAcentral
CCUUUGACGUUAGCGGCGGACGGGUGAGUAACACGUGGGUAACCUACCUAUAAGACUGGGAUAACUUCGGGAAACCGGAGCUAAUACCGGAUAAUAUUUCGAACCGCAUGGUUCGAUAGUGAAAGAUGGUUUUGCUAUCACUUAUAGAUGGACCCGCGCCGUAUUAGCUAGUUGGUAAGGUAACGGCUUACCAAGGCGACGAUACGUAGCCGACCUGAGAGGGUGAUCGGCCACACUGUAACUGAGACACGGUCCAGACUCCUACGGGAGGCAGCAGCU